UACGGAGGGUGCAAGCGUUAAUCGGAAUUACUGGGCGUAAAGCGUGCGCAGGCGGUUUCUUAAGUCAGAUGUGAAAGCCCCGGGCUUAACCUGGGAACUGCGUUUGAAACUGGGAGACUUGAGUGUGGCAGAGGGGGGUGGAAUUCCACGUGUAGCAGUGAAAUGCGUAGAUAUGUGGAGGAACACCGAUGGCGAAGGCAGCCCCCUGGGUUAACACUGACGCUCAUGCACGAAAGCGUGGGGAGCAAACAGG
This 253-nucleotide ribosomal RNA is filed under the name uncultured bacterium. Its description in RNAcentral is "partial 16S ribosomal RNA". It matches the Rfam family "Bacterial small subunit ribosomal RNA", at positions 524 to 776 of the family's 1533-position model. The record is from RNAcentral.